GAAAUGCGAUACUUGGUGUGAAUUGCAGAAUCCCGUGAACCAUCGAAUCUUUGAACGCACAUUGCGCCCCUUGGUAUUCCGAGGGGCAUGCCUGUUCGAGCGUCAUUAUAACCACUCAAGCCUUGGCUUGGUCUUGGGGUUCGCGGUUUCGCGGCCCUUAAAAUCAGUGGCGGUGCCGUUUGGCUCUAAGCGUAGUAAUUCUCUCGCUAUAGGGUCCAGGUGACCACCUGCCAGAACCCCCCAUUCUUUACGGUUGACCUCGGAUCAGGUAGGGAUACCCGCUGAACUUAA
Molecule: unclassified non-coding RNA, 291 nt
Filed under: uncultured Helotiales
Lineage: Eukaryota; Fungi; Ascomycota; Leotiomycetes; Helotiales
Description: sequence contains ITS1
Rfam family: 5.8S ribosomal RNA (bases 1-105)
Source: RNAcentral